UGAAGAGUUUGAUCCUGGCUCAGAUUGAACGCUGGCGGCAUGCCUUACACAUGCAAGUCGAACGGCAGCGGGGGAAAGCUUGCUUUCCUGCCGGCGAGUGGCGAACGGGUGAGUAAUACAUCGGAACGUGCCCUGUAGUGGGGGAUAACUAGUCGAAAGAUUAGCUAAUACCGCAUACGACCUGAGGGUGAAAGUGGGGGACCGCAAGGCCUCAUGCUAUAGGAGCGGCCGAUGUCUGAUUAGCUAGUUGGUGGGGUAAAGGCCUACCAAGGCGACGAUCAGUAGCUGGUCUGAGAGGACGAUCAGCCACACUGGGACUGAGACACGGCCCAGACUCCUACGGGAGGCAGCAGUGGGGAAUUUUGGACAAUGGGCGAAAGCCUGAUCCAGCAAUGCCGCGUGUGUGAAGAAGGCCUUCGGGUUGUAAAGCACUUUUGUCCGGAAAGAAAUGGCUCUGGUUAAUACCCGGAGUCGAUGACGGUACCGGAAGAAUAAGGACCGGCUAACUACGUGCCAGCAGCCGCGGUAAUACGUAGGGUCCAAGCGUUAAUCGGAAUUACUGGGCGUAAAGCGUGCGCAGGCGGUUGUGCAAGACCGAUGUGAAAUCCCCGGGCUUAACCUGGGAAUUGCAUUGGUGACUGCACGGCUAGAGUGUGUCAGAGGGAGGUAGAAUUCCACGUGUAGCAGUGAAAUGCGUAGAGAUGUGGAGGAAUACCGAUGGCGAAGGCAGCCUCCUGGGAUAACACUGACGCUCAUGCACGAAAGCGUGGGGAGCAAACAGGAUUAGAUACCCUGGUAGUCCACGCCCUAAACGAUGUCAACUAGUUGUUGGGGAUUCAUUUCCUUAGUAACGUAGCUAACGCGUGAAGUUGACCGCCUGGGGAGUACGGUCGCAAGAUUAAAACUCAAAGGAAUUGACGGGGACCCGCACAAGCGGUGGAUGAUGUGGAUUAAUUCGAUGCAACGCGAAAAACCUUACCUACCCUUGA
This 989-nucleotide ribosomal RNA is filed under the name Ralstonia mannitolilytica. RNAcentral's name for it is "bacterial SSU rRNA". It matches the Rfam family "Bacterial small subunit ribosomal RNA", at positions 1 to 984 of the family's 1533-position model. The record is from RNAcentral. Lineage: Bacteria; Pseudomonadati; Pseudomonadota; Betaproteobacteria; Burkholderiales; Burkholderiaceae.